Molecule: ribosomal RNA, 484 nt
Filed under: uncultured bacterium
Lineage: Bacteria
Description: partial 16S ribosomal RNA
Rfam family: Bacterial small subunit ribosomal RNA
Source: RNAcentral
GACGAACGCUGGCGGCGUGCUUAACACAUGCAAGUCGAACGAUGAAGCUAGAGCUUGCUCUGGUGGAUUAGUGGCGAACGGGUGAGUAACACGUGAGUAACCUGCCCCGAACUCUGGGAUAACUGCUGGAAACGGUAGCUAAUACCGGAUAUGACCAAUGAAGGCAUCUUCUGUGGGUGGAAAGAAUUUCGGUUGGGGAUGGACUCGCGGCCGAUCAGCUUGUUGGUGAGGUAACGGCUCACCAAGGCGACGCCGGGUAGCCGGCCUGAGAGGGUGAUCGGCCACACUGGGACGGAGACACGGACCAGACUCCUACGGGAGGCAGCAGUGGGGAAUAUUGCACAAUGGGCGCAAGCCUGAUGCAGCAACGCCGCGUGAGGGACGACGGCCUUCGGGUUGUAAACCUCUUUUAGUAGGGAAGAAGCGAAAGUGACGGUACCUGCAGAAAAAGCACCGGCUAACUACGUGCCAGCCGCCGCAGUAA